Molecule: ribosomal RNA, 1091 nt
Filed under: Gadus chalcogrammus (walleye pollock)
Lineage: Eukaryota; Metazoa; Chordata; Actinopteri; Gadiformes; Gadidae
Description: partial 16S ribosomal RNA
Rfam family: Bacterial large subunit ribosomal RNA
Source: RNAcentral
CAAAAGAGUGGGAAGAGCUUUGAGUAGAGGUGACAAACCUACCGAGCCCAGUUAUAGCUGGUUGCCUGUGAAAUGAAUAGGAGUUCAGCCCUUUAAGUCUUUCCCCCCUCACCCAUGCUUACGCUAAAAUUGAUUAAGGAAACUAAAGGCGUUAAUCAAAAGGGGUACAGCCCUUUUGAUAGAAGAAACAACUUUAACAGGUGACCCAAGAUCAUAUUACCCAAGGAUUUCAAAUUAAGUGGGCCUAAAAGCAGCCAUCUUAUCAGAAAGCGUUAAAGCUCAAAUUAGCCUAUAUCCUCAUAUACUGAUAUUACAUCUCCCUCCCUGCCCCUUACCAGGCUGUCUUAUGCCCCCAUAAGAACAAUUAUGCUAAAAUGAGUAAUAAGAAGAAUUUAAUUCUUCUCCUAGCACAUGUGUAAGUCGGAACGGACCUCCCACCGACUAUUAAUCGACCCCAAACCCAGAGGGUAAUAGGUCAAAUAAACAAGAAAAACACCUAUUUUGUAUCGUUAACCCCACACAGGUGUGCCUAAAGGAAAGACUAAAAGAGAAGGAAGGAACUCGGCAAACACAAGCCUCGCCUGUUUACCAAAAACAUCGCCUCUUGCUCCAAAAAUAUAAGAGGUCCCGCCUGCCCUGUGACUAUAAGUUUAACGGCCGCGGUAUUUUAACCGUGCGAAGGUAGCGUAAUCACUUGUCUUUUAAAUGAAGACCUGUAUGAAUGGCAUCACGAGGGCUUAGCUGUCUCCCAUCUCCAGUCAAUGAAAUUGACCUCCCCGUGCAGAGGCGGGGAUAAUUACAUAAGACGAGAAGACCCUAUGGAGCUUUAGACCUAAAGUAAGUCACGUUUAACAUGCUAAAAUAACAGAAAAAACUUAGUGAUAUUUACUGAAGUGUCUUUGGUUGGGGCGACCGCGGGGUAAAACACACCCCCCAUGUGGACCGGGGAUAUUAUCCCUAAUACUCAGAGCCUCUACUCCAAGUAACAGAAAUUCUAAAAUUUCUGAUCCGGUAUAACCGAUCAACGAACCGAGUUACCCUAGGGAUAACAGCGCAAUCCCCUCUCAGAGCCCAUAUCGACGGGGGGGUUU